GCGAACGCUGGCGGCAGGCCUAACACAUGCAAGUCGAACGAACCCUUCGGGGUUAGUGGCGGACGGGUGAGUAACACGUGGGAACGUACCUUUAGGUUCGGAACAACACAGGGAAACUUGUGCUAAUGCCGAAUGUGCCCUUCGGGGGAAAGAUUUAUCGCCUUUAGAGCGGCCCGCGUCUGAUUAGCUUGUUGGUGAGGUAAAGGCUCACCAAGGCUUCGAUCAGUAGCUGGUCUGAGAGGAUGAUCAGCCACACUGGGACUGAGACACGGCCCAGACUCCUACGGGAGGCAGCAGUGGGGAAUCUUGCGCAAUGGGCGAAAGCCUGACGCAGCCAUGCCGCGUGAAUGAAGAAGGCCUGCGGGUUGUAAAGCCCUUUCGACGGGGAGGAAGGCACCGGCGCGAAUAGCGUUGGUGAUUGACGUAACCUGGAGAAGAAGCACCGGCUAACUCCGU
This 456-nucleotide ribosomal RNA is filed under the name uncultured bacterium. RNAcentral's name for it is "bacterial SSU rRNA". It matches the Rfam family "Bacterial small subunit ribosomal RNA", at positions 29 to 506 of the family's 1533-position model. The record is from RNAcentral.